Molecule: long non-coding RNA, 1427 nt
Organism: Cavia porcellus (domestic guinea pig)
Lineage: Eukaryota; Metazoa; Chordata; Mammalia; Rodentia; Caviidae
Exons: 2
Source: RefSeq, a predicted model, not a curated record
AUGAAGUUGUUGAUCAUUACAGUUUAGAUUUCAAAAGUGGGGGGCUUUUAGAAGUUGAUGGAUCAUGAGGGCUCUAAUUUCACCAGAAUAUUAAUCUAUGGGUGAUGUUAUAAUUUGAUGGCACGGCUGGGAUGUGAUAGAAAUGUAGGAGAUGGAACCUAGCUGAAAAGAGUGGGUCAUGGUGCCAUGGCCCUGGGUAUAUAUUUAGUCUCUGGCUCCUCUCUGCCUCCCUGAUGGCAUUUUGUGGGCAGCUUCCCUCUGCCACAAUGUUUUUUCUCCCUGCAGGCUUAAACCAAUGGGGCCAACAGACUAUGGUCUGAAAUCUCGGAAACUGUGAGCUAAAAUCUUUCCUCCUCAUUCAUUAUUCAUUUCGGAUAUUUGACCUGUUGAUCGUGACUAUUGUGGAACCUUUUCUUAAAUCACAAUUAACUGUUUUAUGAAAGCUCCAUCUCAUUUUUUCAAGAAUAUUGUUGUAGUCAGGGGUUGUGCAGAGAACAAUUAGAAUCAAGACUUGGAGUUUAUAAUAUUAUUUUUUAAUGGUCACCAGGAGUUAACACAGGAAAAUGCAGGAAAAUGUAUCCACAACCCCAAAGACAGAUUAUUUAGUCAAGAGCCUAAACCCCACAGCAGUGUCCCACAUGAGUCCAGAUAAAAACCCAAAGCUCAGGACAAUGCGUCCCACGAGUCCAACUGGAGAUCCAGAGCACACAAGAAGGACUUAUGCCAGUCUCUUUUACAGAUCUGUGCUGGGAAGACCCAAAGGUCAGCGAUGGAAGCCAGAAAGUCUAUGCCAGCAGGAUGAAGGAGUUGUGCUAGUGGGAUGAGGGUUCUACGCUGGAGCCGAGAAGUCACACUCACAACAAAGAACAGGGCUGUCCUGAAAGGCACCGUAGCCAUCCUCAGCAACACGGAGGCCUCAAGCUCCUCCGACAACAAGCACAGUCAGAUGAUCAUCAAGCGCUUUCUCUGCGACUGCUGGACACGUGCUCCUAGUGCAGAAGCGAGCUAGGCGGCAGAUGCCAAACUGCCUGCUGUGAAGUUUGUCUCCGCAGAGGUCCCAGUGGGCAGGCCAACCAAGCCCCUGCAGCUCGAGACUCCUCUCCAGUGCUCCUAAAAACUUGCUUGUGUCUUGGACUCCAAAAUAGCUGGGUCCUAGGGGUUUAGUUUCAGACUGAAGAAAUUCAUGCUUUCUUUGUUUCUAUUUUUAAAUACAGGAAAAACAAAUAAGAAAGAAGGGAUAACUUUACUAACUCUUCCAAGAGACUUCUUUUUUAAAGCCUAGGCUGUGAGCCAGUGGUCUCUCCAUCUCAGUGCAAGGUGACCAUUUAUAUUUGUCACAGCAACAUUCCAGCUCACUCUCUACCAAGGACUGUGGCAUCCAGUGUAACUUUUGUAUCCAUUGAACUAAAUUACCCUACGCAAAAUGA